GAUCAUGGCUCAGAUUGAACGCUGGCGGCAUGCCUUACACAUGCAAGUCGAACGGUAACAGGUCUUCGGAUGCUGACGAGUGGCGAACGGGUGAGUAAUACAUCGGAACGUGCCCGAUCGUGGGGGAUAACGAAGCGAAAGCUUUGCUAAUACCGCAUAAGAUCUACGGAUGAAAGCAGGGGACCACAAGGCCUUGCGCGAACGGAGCGGCCGAUGGCAGAUUAGGUAGUUGGUGGG
This 237-nucleotide ribosomal RNA is filed under the name uncultured bacterium. Its description in RNAcentral is "partial 16S ribosomal RNA". It matches the Rfam family "Bacterial small subunit ribosomal RNA", at positions 15 to 256 of the family's 1533-position model. The record is from RNAcentral.